AUUCCCCUCCUUUUCCUCGCACCGCCGUCUUCUUCCCACGCUCGGCCGAACCAUCGUCAUCAUGGCCGCCUCCGUUCCCGCGCUCUCCAUCAUCCCCGCACCCUGAAAACUUGUCCGUGAGCUCUGUCGUCGUCCGCCUUGUCGUCUUCACCCACUGGUUCCAGCCGGGAGCCCCUACAUCGAGUCCUGCUACGUCGUCUUCUUCCUUGGAUGCCGCUGGUCAUCGCCGUUCGAUUCGCCUCCACCGAGCCUCCCUCAAGCCCACUGACCCGCUCGUCGACCCCGCUACACCGAGACCGAUGCCGCUGCUACCCAAUACGACUACGGUGUUGACGACCCCUCUCUCUUGCCAGAGCAACCAG
This 362-nucleotide ribosomal RNA is filed under the name Triticum aestivum (bread wheat). Its description in RNAcentral is "partial small subunit ribosomal RNA". The record is from RNAcentral. Lineage: Eukaryota; Viridiplantae; Streptophyta; Magnoliopsida; Poales; Poaceae.